AAUCAACGCUGGCGGCGUGCCUCAGACAUGCAAGUCGAACGCGAAAGUCCCCUUCGGGGGACGAAGUAGAGUGGCGCACGGGUGAGUAACACGUAGGUAAUCUACCUUUGGAUGGGGAAUAACAACCGGAAACGGUUGCUAAUACCGCAUAAUGCAGCGGCACCUAAUGGUGACAGUUGUUAAAGCGGGGGAUCGAAAGACCUCGCGUCUAAAGAGGAGCCUGCGGCGGAUUAGCUAGNGGUUAAGGUAAUGGCUUACCAAGGCUACGAUCCGUAACCGGCCUGAGAGGGCGGUCGGUCACACUGACACUGACAUACGGGUCAGACUCCUACGGGAGGCAGCAGUCGGGAAUUUUGGGCAAUGGGCGAAAGCCUGACCCAGCAACGCCGCGUGAAGGAUG
RNAcentral lists this ribosomal RNA (400 nucleotides) under uncultured bacterium. RNAcentral describes it as "bacterial SSU rRNA". It matches the Rfam family "Bacterial small subunit ribosomal RNA", at positions 32 to 410 of the family's 1533-position model. The record is from RNAcentral.